This 279-nucleotide long non-coding RNA is filed under the name Solanum tuberosum (potato). RNAcentral describes it as "long non-coding RNA (STUB_LNC001321)". The record is from RNAcentral. Lineage: Eukaryota; Viridiplantae; Streptophyta; Magnoliopsida; Solanales; Solanaceae.
UACAAUUUGGCUCCUAUGAUCCUUGCUGACAAUUACAGGGCGUUGGAUAGGUGUAAAAAUGGCACACGUUUCUUUCAAGGGUGCAACCUGAUACUUCAAUGGUGGAUGAUGAGACACUUGAUCAAAGCUCAUGAUCCAACAGAACCAGAUCCCUUGGAAAGACCGAACAGGCUCGAAAGUCACGAUUGGUGGGUGCAACGUAAUCAUUUCAACAGGACUGGAGGCCAAGAGUUUUGGUACUCGAGACUUCAGGGUUUGAGAGAGGAAAAUGUGCAGUGG